Molecule: non-coding RNA, 384 nt
Organism: Vicugna pacos (alpaca)
Lineage: Eukaryota; Metazoa; Chordata; Mammalia; Artiodactyla; Camelidae
Source: RefSeq, a predicted model, not a curated record
AGGCACUUAAGUGCUCAUAGAGACAAGAAGAGCUUGCUGUAGGCUGUGGCAAAGUUACCUCACAAAGGAGGCAGGGCCCUCACAGACAUGGCUUUGAACUUCAUUCGCCAACAGAGCUUCAAGACCCAAGCUGGCAUGAGGCGUCGAGCUCGAAAAAUUGGUGUUCUCAUCACUGAUGACGUUGAGGCCCCAUCAAAGCAACUCAAGUAUAAAGGCAUGGAGCCGUUUGCUGUUGGUAUUAAAAAUGCUGAUGAAGCUAAGUUAAAAGAUGACUGCAGCAGACCCCGAUGAUCCCCACACAUGCAACUGGCAGAUUUUGCGUCCCUCUCCAGGAUCCUGGAUGACCUCACCCUCAACUUGUGUAACAGCGUCAGAAGUCCAGGU